CCUACGGGAGGCAGCAGUGGGGAAUAUUGGACAAUGGGCGAAAGCCUGAUCCAGCAAUGCCGCGUGAGUGAUGAAGGCCUUAGGGUUGUAAAGCUCUUUUACCAGGGAUGAUAAUGACAGUACCUGGAGAAUAAGCUCCGGCUAACUCCGUGCCAGCAGCCGCGGUAAUACGGAGGGAGCUAGCGUUGUUCGGAAUUACUGGGCGUAAAGCGUACGUAGGCGGUUAUUCAAGUCAGAGGUGAAAGCCCGGGGCUCAACCCCGGAACGGCCUUUGAAACUAGGUAGCUAGAGUCUUGGAGAGGUUAGUGGAAUUCCGAGUGUAGAGGUGAAAUUCGUAGAUAUUCGGAAGAACACCAGUGGCGAAGGCGACUAACUGGACAAGUACUGACGCUGAGGUACGAAAGCGUGGGGAGCAAACAGGAUUAGAUACCCUGGUAGUCCACGCCGUAAACGAUGAUAACUAGCUGUUCGGGCACUUGGUGCCUGAGUGGCGCAGCUAACGCAUUAAGUUAUCCGCCUGGGGAGUACGGUCGCAAGAUUAAAACUCAAAGGAAUUGACGG
This 561-nucleotide ribosomal RNA is filed under the name uncultured bacterium. RNAcentral describes it as "bacterial SSU rRNA". It matches the Rfam family "Bacterial small subunit ribosomal RNA", at positions 338 to 916 of the family's 1533-position model. The record is from RNAcentral.